RNAcentral lists this non-coding RNA (128 nucleotides) under Variovorax sp. Its description in RNAcentral is "ZTP sequence". It matches the Rfam family "ZMP/ZTP riboswitch aptamer (pfl RNA motif)". From Rfam's summary of the family: Previously known as pfl RNA. The record is from RNAcentral. Lineage: Bacteria; Pseudomonadati; Pseudomonadota; Betaproteobacteria; Burkholderiales; Comamonadaceae.
CGGCGGGCACGCGACUGGCGAUAGGCGCUGCACUUUUUCAGGUGCGUUGCGCUGACGUGGACUACCACUGGGGAGCGUGCUGCCUGCGGUCUCGAGCAGGUGUUCAGCCGUUCGCCUGGGCAGCCCUU